This 16749-nucleotide long non-coding RNA is filed under the name Podarcis lilfordi (Lilford's wall lizard). Lineage: Eukaryota; Metazoa; Chordata; Lepidosauria; Squamata; Lacertidae. The record is from RNAcentral.
CAGACUAAGAAAAGAUCUCUCCACAAGACCUUGAGAGCAAGGGGAGCUGGGUUAUAGGUGGACCAAAGGCACCACAUGUUCAAAGUUCAGGUAAGAAGAGUUUCUCAGAGACAUGUGGAAUAUAAGACUGCUGAAGUGUUCAUAGGAAAGUUUUAGAGAUGAGGACUUAUUUUCUUGCUAGAGGACUCCUUGUCCCUCGCAUGCAGGCAGCUUAACCCACCCUAAGUGCCGAUACCGCCCUUUUGGAUAAAAACGCUUCUCUUUAUUUGCCUUCACCUUGCCCCAGCGUUAUAACAUAAUACACCUCAUGUAGUUUCCAAAGGGCUUACCAGCUGCAAUGAAGGGACAAAACAUUCAACUGCCUUGAGUUUCAGAAGUUGGUAUUAUUAGUAACUGGGAAAAUAAGGCAGCCACCUCUUACUGCAGCAGAAUCUAGGCUGAACACUGCAGAAAGUGCAGUGGUACCUUGGCUCUCAAACUUAAUCCGUUCUGGAAGUUCGUUCCAAAACCAAGUUGCACUUUCCAAUAGAAAGUAAUGCAAAAUGGAUUAAUCCGUUCCAGACUUUUAAAAACAACCCCUAAAACAGAAAUUUAACAUGAAUUUUACUAGUUAUAGGUAGGUAGCCGUGUUGGCCUGCUAUAGUUUAAACAAAAUUUAAAAAUUCCUUCCAGUAGCACCUUAGAGACCAACUAAGUAUGUUAUUGGUAUGAGCUUUCGUGUGCAUGCACACUUCUUCAGAAUUUUACUAACGAAACCAUUUAUCCAUAAAAUGAAAGCAAUAAAUGUACUGCAGUCACACAAUCAAUCAAUCAAUCAGUAGCUGAAUUGGGUUCCACACAGUCACACAAAAAAAGAACCACAAAAACGCAAAAUAGCAAAAACAGACAGACCUCAGCAUAACACUCAAAAUGGAAGUGUGGCACUCAAAUCAGAAGUGUAACACUCAAAACGAAGCAUGUUCGGCUUCCGAAAAAAGUUAGUAAACCAGAACACUUACUUCCGGGUUUGCAAUGUUUGGGUUCCAAGUUGUUUGAGUACCUAGGUGUUUGAGAAACAAGGUACCACUGUACCAGCAGAAGCCCAGAUGAUAGUACUCCCUUCAGCAUUUUGCCUUCCUACUAGGGAUGAGGUUAUUCCUUCCCUCAUCUGCCAGCAGCUAAGAAGCAGGGCUCGGCUGAAAGACCAGCUCCAUCCGUGUUGAGAACAAGGAUUGCCCAGCCUCUCUUAGUGUAAGGAAAAAUUUAUAUUGGACUUUAAGCUGGCCUCUGCUUCAACAGCUUCUGCGCUGGGGGUUGCCUACAGCAAACUCUUCAUUCAGUCAAGAGAUGAAGGAGAUAAAUGCAAGGGGCAUCAGUUGCACUGCACCACAGAGAAAGCCGGAGAAGCAAAAUACCCAGGAAAUGUUGAAAAAUGGUUUUGAACGUACCACAAUUCUCUUCAUCUGAGCCAUCCAUGCAAUCACUGACCCCAUCGCAAAGCCAAGUAGCAGAAACGCAGCUUCCAUCUUUGCACUGCCAUGCAUUUGGAUCACCACGACAUCCUUCGUCUGAACGAUAAAAGUUAUUUAGCUUGAUUUAACACUGUACUUAGCUGGAGUGGUUAGGUACUCUCCCUUUUUAAUAAUAAUAAUUUAUAUUUAUACCCCGCCCUCCCCAGCCAAGGCCGGGCUCAGAGCGGCUUACAAGCAAUAAUAAAAACAAGUUGAAUGAUUACAACUUAAAAACAAGAUUAGAAUACAACAUUAAAAUAUUGAAACAUUAAAAUAUUAAAAUGUAGCCUCAUCGCAGGAGGAGAAAGAAAAGAAAAAAGAAAGAGAGGGAGGGAAUCAAAUUGGCUCCAAGCCAAAGGCCAGGUGGAACAACUCUGUCUUACAGGCCCUGCGGAAUGAAAUCAGAUCCUGCAGGGCCCUGGUCUCAUGAGGCAGAGCGUUCCACCAGGCUGGAGCCAGAGUUGAAAAGGCCCUGGCUCUGGCUGAAGCCCAUCUAACUUCCUUAGGGCCCGGGACCACUAGGGUGUUGCUAUUUAUGGACCUUGAGGCUCUCCGUGGGGCAUACCGGGAGAGGCGGUCCCGUAGGUACGAGGGUCCUAGGCCGUGAGGACCUUUUAAAAGAAUGUUGCCUUUAGGGUAGUUGCGAAGGAGGACUUUAGUAGCCUGGGAAGUUGCUUUGAAAUUAACGUCCACCGCAGAGAUGCUACAGUUUAAAGGACUUGGCAUGCAUAAUAAAAUUAUUUCAUGAAAUUUAUACACCGCUUGAUUAAUGUUUUCAGAAAGCAGUUUACUAAAAAAAAACAUGGAUACACAAGUUAUCUUGGAAAGACAUUAGCUUAACCAUUGAAGUGACUAGGGAAAACAGUUUCAGCUGUCCCAGGAAACAACAAACUGUUAAAAGUCCAUCUCAAAAUGUUUAUCAGAAGCCUUGGUAUCCAACCUUGGCAGGCUCAGAUUUAGAUUUGAUGGGGCCCUAAGCUGCUGAAGGUAAUGGGGCCCUUUAUAUGUCCAGCUGUCCUUUGUCAACAACAAAUUGUCACUGUUUUUUGUGUUGAAUAUACGCUAUAUGGUAAUUUAUGGACCUAAUAGGUAUCUAAAGUUAUUUGUAUAUAACAAAUAGGAGCCAACACAAAACGCUGUUGCUGUAUGUAGGUUUUAUUUUAUUUGUUUUUUAUCUUAUAUUUUGGAAAUGUACAUCCAGUUUUUUCCCUUUAAUUUUUUUUGUGGGCCCCUAAGAGCGUGGGGCUAUAGCUUGUUUAGCUUAUAUGUAAAUCCAGCACUGAACCUUGGUCUCCCAAAUGGACUCUCAGCCAUUUGAAGGCUCUGAAAGGCUUACCACAAUGCUCAUCUGAUCCAUCAGGGCAGUCUUGCUCUCCAUUACAAAGCCACGUCAAAGGAAUGCACUUAUCUCCACAGACAGCUUGCUGAGAGAUACUGCAAACGUUUCCAUCUGUACAAGGCAAAUAGGAUAUAGUCACUCUCUGUCCUUUCCACCCUAACUCCCCCCACCCCAAAAAAUCUGCUAGAUUGAAGGGGGGGAACCUCCAAAAUGGGUUCAUGGGGGAGAGGGCGGCACACAGGAAGGAAACCCUACUGCACAGGAAAAAGCCCUUGAACUCAUUUUGACACCACCCAUAGUUAUUUUAUUUAACAAGACUCUUUAAAAAGCCAACUUGUUUUUUUUAAAAGCAUGAUAGUGUACAAUAAAGUCAUUCAAACGUCACAACAUGAAGGAUACAAAGCAAAAUUCUGUUUAUAAACAUGCUUUACUCAUUUCAUUUAGCCUCGCUUCCCCUGUAAGUAUCCCUUGAACUACCAUGUGGUUUCAUUUGUUUAUUAAAUUUAUAUCCCACUGGUCCUUCCAAAGAAGCCUAGAGCUGCAAACUAAGGAGAUUAAAGACUACUGUGUAAAAAAACAAAAACCCGAAAGCAAUGCCAGCUUGAGAGGAGAGAGGCACAUCAUCCUCCCAAAAAACCAGAGUCCUUUCUGUUGGGGAUAAUUCAGACUGAAAUUCCACUACCACAAGGUGACAAAAAAAGGUUAUUUAUGUAUGCUACUACUGCGCCAGUGUUUUGUUAGCAUCAAAAUGGAAAACGAGGUCCCAACCAAAGAAUGGCAACUUAAGUUGACAGAAUAUGCACAACUUGCAGAGGCAACACAGAAUAAGAGAACUAUAAGAACAUAUGUUUAAAGAAGACUGGAAAACGUUUGUUGAAUAUAUGGGAAAUCAUUGUGUACAGCUGAAAACGCUGGCAGCCUCAAGAUAAAUUCAACAAUGUAAACAAGUUUUGAUGGCUGCAAUAAUGGAAUACCGAAUGGAACAGUUUUGUGUAAAAUAUGCAGGGAUUUGUGGUGCGUAAAAUGAACCAUGGAAAGAGAAGAAGGGAAGUCAUUGGUAUUUUAAGGGUGUAAAAUGAGUUUUUUAAAUUGCAAAACAGAAAAUUUAUACCUAUAUAUAUAGCCCACGACCCCACUCCACCUGACCCACUCUCACCUUUGUUGGGGAGCAAACCCCACCCAGUCGCAGUAGCGAAGAGCAGCAGCAGCGCAGCCUGGAGCGUAGCGCGCCCCAUAACGCGCGGAAAAAGCGCGCAGGAGCAGCGCGAGAAACAAAGGCGAGCACAGAAAGAAUAAAAGAGCGGGGGAAAGCAGCAACGGAGUAGAUGCGCGGAGAAGCUUUUAAACCCCGCGCAAGAGUCCCACUGGGUGGGGUAGCGGCUGGGCGCGGCUCCGGCAUUUAGAAGUCCCGUUGCGAGGAUCAGGCCCUUACUCCUCAGCCAAGCGCGGAUGGAGUCGCGAGGCCCUAAUCCUGACGCUCCUCCAAGCCCCGGCACCACGUAGCUUGUUUGCAGCAAGACCCGAUUACUGCAUCCCUUACUAGGGAGUAAACUGCCUUCGCCGCAACAGGGCUUGCUCCCGAGUAAACGCAGAUGGAGUUGGCCUGCUUUGUGGUGGCUCCUCCUUUGUGGGAACUCUCUUCUCAGGAAGGCUGGCCUGAGACCAGUUUAGUGGAUCUUUAGGCGCCAGGCAAAUUUUCCCCCCUCUAUCCUUUGGCCUUUAACUUUCUGUGGCCAUUUUAGAACUAGGCAGGAUAUUUUUCAUGCUUUUCCUCUUAAUGUAUCUCUGUUGUCUGUUUGGCUGGUUGUAAGUCAAUUUGGGUUUGCCUUGGGCAAGAUAAAGUGACUAACUAGAAAAAGCUGUGCUAAAAGGACAAUGUUGGUCCAACUCAAUCGCUUCUCUUAUAUCUGUAAUAAGAGUAUGUUAUUACUCAAACCGAAUUUGCUUUAGUUUUAAUCUGGUUUUGCUGAAGUGAUUUGUUAAUCUAUCAAGGAAACUGUUAGUUUAUUUAGUUUUGAAUUGUAAUUAAGUACUGAAUUUAUUGGCUCCUGGGUUCUUACAGAGGUAAUUUUACUGAGGAAAUGCAUAUAAGGUUACAUUCACAGGCGGGGAGGGGAGAUGGAUUAUAAUUGCUGGUAACAGGCAGACAUUUUAAACUGCCGAAUCCUCUUCCGGGCAUAAAGCUGCAAUAUUGUGCUAAGCUUCACCAGUUGAAUUCCUGUCUGUUAUUGCUGCUGCUAAAUGCAUACAGACCUUUGUUAGAAAAACAAAUAUUUCAUGCCCAAUCAUAUUGUGAAACUGGUAAACUGCAAGGGACAUAUUCCAGCCACUUUGAAGAAGGCUUAUGCUAUGUUUUGAUUGAUAAAUAUAUUCUAAUGUUUCAGGUGCUGAAAAUAUCAUUUAUAGCCUUAUCUUCAGAAGAUGAAAGACUCCCGCUGAAAAGGCAGUUUCGAAUGCCAGGGUACCAAAGAUCCACAGCUAAUUUAGUGGUAUGUUACUUAACUUUUGCUAAAAACAAUACUAUAUUCGUUCUUAUGAAACCACCAUGCACAAGACAGAAAAGUCGGUUCCGAGAUAACUGUGAUGUCAGGAGCAAGGUUAUCCGUCAUACCAGCAGUGGGAAAGAGUACUAACAGAAUCCUGUCAUCAGGAGUAAGUCCCACCAGGUAAAUUGAAAUUUUGCUCUUUAGGAAGUGCAAAGUACACCCACCUGUCUGUGAUUAACUCAACAGGGCUGGCUUCUAAUUUGGCAUGUACAGAAUUGCACUAUUAAUGUUUAUUUUGAGGCAAAAGCUGCUAGCAGUUAUGGAUGCAGCUGUAACUAUUAUGAAACCCGCAAAACAGGUAUGAGCCACUGACUGUAUUCACAAUCUUGGACCCUGCUGUUUUAAAAAGCAGAUCAAGCUUUUCCCUGAAGACUUAUACAUAUUAAGUAGCAAAGUACAAUGUUGAGGGGGUGGGUUCCCUUCAGCAAUAUUUAAUUGUAUUGAAAAUGUCAAUAGGAUUCAGCUGUUGCUCACCAGCAGGAUCUUACCAUGAUAACGUGCAAUGGCUUUAUUUUCAAAAGAAAUUUGAGGUCAUGUGGCAUUUUAAACUUAAAGACAUUGUUUCUGUUUAAAAAUGAUUUCCAUUUGAUUUUACAUGAACACAUUUGUAUUACGCGAAGGAAAAUUAAAAUCGUAUUAUAAUAAGAGAUUAAUGAUAUUUUGCUAGGCUGCGUAGAAUGGCGUUUGUUGGAGCCUAGUUGUAUUGCCAGUUUUAGAAGUCUGGUCUUUCUGGCUGACAGCUGGCACGGCAGUUCCAAAACAAAGGAGAAUAAAGCUUAUGGUGAACCAUCUCCACCUCUGAAUUCUCUUUCCUGGGUCCUGUCCUUUAAUAAUAAUAAUAACAAUAAUAAAAUGUUAUUUAUACCCCGCCCUCCCCAGCCAAGGCCGGGCUCAGGGCGGCUAACAAGCAAUAAUAAAAACAAGUUGAAUGAAUACAACUUAAAAACAAGAUUAGAAUACAACAUUAAAAUAUUGAAACAUUAAAAUAUUAAAAUGUAGCCUAAUCGCAGGAGGAGGAGGAAAAGGAAAAAAGAAAGAGAGGGAGGGAAUCAAAUUGGCUCCAAGCCAAAGGCCAGGCGGAACAACUCUGUCUUACAGGCCCUGCAGAAAGAAAUCCGAUCCUGCAGGGCCCUGGUCUCAUGAGGCAGAGCGUUCCACCAGGCCGGAGCCAGUGCUGAAAAGGCCCUGGCUCUGGUUAAAGCUAAUCUAACUUCCUUAGGGCCCGGGACCACUAGGGUGUUGCUAUUUAUGGACCUUGAGGCUCUCCGUGGGGCAUACCAGGAGAGGUGGUCCCGUAGGUACGAGGGUCCUAGGCCGUGAAGGGCUUUAAAGGUCAAAACCAGCACCUUAAAUCUGACCCUGUACUCUGUGCUAAGAGGUGUCUGGGCUAGAACUAGAACAUCAUGCAUCAGUACUGCUGCCCCACAUGCAGGGCCAGCCUGAAGAUGGAACCAAAGGCUAAAAUGGCACCCUCUCUCCAUUCUAUGAACAGGAGCCCGCUUGACUGGCAGCUGAAUCUUAGUACACUGCUGGUGAUGUCAUAGCAUUCUCUGCUGCAUCAAUGGCUUUGGAUGCAUUACACCUUUAAAGCACAUUCAUUCUUUCAAAGAAUUCUGGGUACUGUGGUUUGUUAAGCAUUCCUUGGAACUGUGAUUCUGUGAGGGGUAAACCACAGUGCCCAUAAUUCUUUGAGGGAAAGAAUGCACUUUUUAUGGGCUUCCCAUCGUGUUUGCAUGCAGGGUCAUCACUUGAGGGCAUCAGCAUGGAGUGAUUUUGCAUGUAUGGAUAGGUUUUGCAUGGAUAGAAUUUUGCAUGGAUAGGAUAUAACAGAAUGGCCAGAAUACUUCCCAGCUGCCAGCCUGCCAGUCAAGUGUAUAGUGGGGUCCAGGCAGCACUCUGAGCCUUCCCAACUCCCUCCAAGCACAUCCCGCAAAUCCAUGCUUUCAUAAAGCAUGUUCCCCACUAGGUGGCAUCUUGGACCGAAAAAGCCCAACAACAACUUCAGAAGGGAUUGGAAGUUCAGUUGAAGCCAUCGUAAAGUCUUAGCUGUAUUUAAAAUUAGCCACACUUCCUACUCUUGUUAAUAUUUGUGAUGAAAGUAGAGUAAGAGUUUGUCCUUAAGGUCUCCUCCUCCAUCGUCUUUCAGAGGUGUGGUUGCAAGACCUACCACCUAUGUCUCGGCCUACCUUUCUUGUUACCAUUCAGGUUGGUGCCAUUUUAGCCAUGUGUUUUUUUUAAUUGAUAUUUAGCUUGCAAGUUUCCACCUGUUUCCCCACCCCAUCUCCUUAAGAAUUAUUAAAAUGCCAGCAUCAUAGUGCCUUAGUACAAAAUUUAAAAGUGAUUAAGGGGGGGGGAAUCACGAUCACUGCCUUCCAGUUUUCUAGUCAGUGCCAUUUUGUCACCGCAUAUUAUUUUUCCCCCAUCUUAAAACAUUUUCUCCUACCUGCUUAAAGUUCAACCAUAGUGCUUUAGCACAAAUUUUUGAACGAUUUUUAAAUCGGAUUUUAAAAAUGGUUCAAGUGAAUUUUCUCUUUCCUGCCUAUGCGACUAUGUCACCGAGUCACUCCCGCAGUUAAUUUGAAUAAGCAGCAGAGAAAUUUCAUUGGGACCACAUUCCCUGCCUAGUCUUUCAAAGGCAGCAGGUAGUUUUAAAAACACAGCAAUCACAAAAGCCUCUGCCUGCUCUUUAAGAGGCAGCAGAGUCUUAUCUCCAACCUUAGUGCUGUGGGAAUACAGUGCUAAGAUGAGAAAUAAGCCUGUUAGAAUUCUGAAUUAACUGAUGAUUGGUGACAUCCACAAUCAGAAGCAAUAUGCCCUUGACCAGUUGCUAGAAUCUCAGGUAGGGAGAGUGCUGUUAUGCUUGUCCCGCUUGCGGGCUUACAAUGGGCACCUGGCUGACCAUAGAACCAUAGAAUUGGUUGGAAAUAGAGUUGGAAAUAGAGAAUAGAGUUGGAAAGGAACCACAGGGGUCAUCUAGUCCAGCCCCCGGCAAUGCAGGAAUCUUUUGGCCCAAUGCGGUGCUCAAACCCACAGCCCUGAGAUUAAGAGCCUUCCUGCUUUACUGACUGAACUAUCCCAGGAUGCUGGACUAGACGGGCCUUUGGCCUGAUCCUGCAGGCUCUUCUUAAGCUUUGAGGUGAAUGACAGGUGAGUGGCCCUGCUCACCUGUCGAAAAUGACUCAUGGAAGGUGGGCUAGAUCUGGAUGCAACCCUCAGGCCAAAUCCAGUUUCCCACCCAUUGGGCGAAUGGAACAUAGCUGGGUGAACACACGCAAAAAGCAUUCUUCUUCCCAAAGUGUGGAAAGUCAACUGAAAUGACUUAAGUAGCUUACAGUGAAAGAGCAAGAGCACACACACACACCCCGUUGCUGUGUUUGAUUUGUCCUUAAAUGCACUUAUUGAACAGAGGCGGGACAUUGACUAAUUUGCGCAGUCGCAAGCUACUGGCACUGCUACACUCCUGGGCUGUCUGCUGUAUAUGUAGCCUGAAACGUCGCAGCAGAUCAACAUAAACAAAGAUUUGGUAGGCAUCCAAAGAACAUCAAUUAAAUCUGAAUGCGUGCCAGUUACCAAGAAGUGAAGCCUUAAAGUGCUCUCCAAAAACACAAGCCAGUAUUAAUGGAAGGAACAGAGCAAAUCCAAACCACCAGAUCUGCCAGCUGGGAGGAGUUAGGGGGAGAAAGUUCCUUGCUGCAGUAGGCAGCUGUGCCCCUACAUGAACAUAGCAUUUCCCCUCUUGACAGAGUAUGUGCAUUACCGGCUGCUCCCAUUCAGCUGUGUCUUCAGGCCCUGGCAUGCUGGACAGCUCCCUGCCCUGGCUUGAUACUGGGAUCUGCCCAGGUGCUUUGGUGAAGCUGCCAACCAUGGAUGAGCAUGAAAGGGAUAUGUCUUCUUCCCACCCCCUUUGCCCCAAUGUUUUGUCUGUGGGGCAAGCAGUCUUCCUGCCAAGUGGAUAUUCAAAGCAUCUCAGUGGACCCAUUGGUCCCCUCUAGGGCUGAGGGGUUGGGAGUCGCAUUCCUGAGUGGGCAUCUGCAAUACCUGGGCUCCUGGACCUUGACACUCUUGCUGGGUUGCGACCUAUGAGUGGGAAGGAAUGGUAUGGAACCCCAGUUCCCAAGAGUGGUGGUGGUAUGAAGGGGAAACCAUGGUGCUGGGGGCAGAAGCUGCCACAACCCCUGCAGGGCCCUCCCCUUGGCAUCUUCCAUGCCCAAACUUCGUACCAGCAGGUGUGGUGUUGCCUGCUUUCUUCAUGCCUGGUGUAUCUUUGCUCAUUGGCACCUUGCCUCUUACUUUGCGUCCCCUCUCCUGGCUGCUUGGCCGCUCCUUACCAUAUCUCUGUAGGUGCUUGCAAGUGCUUUAUGGAGCAUGCAGUGAGAGAUAGGAGCAUCUUUGGGGCUGUGGUCUUCUCCUCUCCCUGUUGUGGCUGUGUAAUUGGUUCUGCCUUGGCACUGAAAUUUUAUUUUCUUCUGUUUGCAUUGACUUCUCUGAUGUUGUGCAUUAAGUGAGGGCAGGUACCUACAGCCACGAUAAAAUUUAAUGAUUUCUCUGCAGUCGGACGCGGGUGGCACUGUGGGUUAAACCACAGAGCCUAGGACUUGCUGAUCAGAAGGUCAGCAGUUCGAAUCCCUGCGACGGGGUGAGCUCCUGUUGCUCCGUCCCUGCUCCUGCCAACCUAGCAGUUCAAAUGCACGUCAAAGUGCAAGUAGAUAAAUAGGUACCGCUCUGGCAGGAAGGUAAAUGGCGUUUCCGUGUGCUGCUCUGGUUCGCCAGAAGCGGCUUAGUCAUGCUGGCCACAUGACCCGGACGCUGUACGCCAGCUCCCUCGGCCAAUAAAGCGAGAUGAGUGCCGCAACCCCAGAGUCGGUCACGACUGGACCUAAUGGUCAGGGGUCCCUUUACCUUUACUAAGUCCCAUGGAAAUCAAUGUGACCCGAGUAGAAAUGCCUGGGCUUGGGGACUGGUAAGUUGAAUAAAUACAAUCACAGACCUUUCAACAUGCUGAAAUAUCUUUCCCAUCUUUCCCAUAAACCUAAAAUAUACCCCCCGCCCGGUCGCUUGUGUUAUACAAAAGUUCAUGUUACACAACCUCAGUUGGCCCUGAUGGAGAAAUGACGACAGGGCAGCUUCCCAGAACCAGAUCACAUCAAUGUGCUUCUCGAGAAAUCUGCUGCUCUGGUUCACCAGAAGCGGCUUAGUCAUGCUGGCCACAUGACCCGGAAGCUGUACACCGGCUCCCUCAGCCAAUAAAGCGAGAUGAGCGCCACAACCCUAGAGUCGGUCACGACUGGACCUAUGGUCAGGGGUCCCUUUACCUUUACCUGCAGUCGGGGUGCUGCUGCCAUGUGUGUUUAUGGUGCUGUUUGGGUGCCUGGCAGGUGUGUGCAUUGUAGAUGGCAUGGCUAUACAUGCUGGGACCUGUAUCUGGACUGGCUGCUAUGGGCAGGGCUGCAAUGGGGAUGUGUUUCUUCUGUAUUGCUUGUUUUCUUUUUCCCAGCAAAGGCUUCUCCCACCCCUUGCCAUACAGGGUUUGGAUGUGGUGAGAUUUGCAUGGUCAUAUUGCCAACGCAUUGAUCUACUCCCUGGCAGAUUUCCCCACUUUGAAUUGCUCAGGCAGAUACUAACUUGAAAAUGGGAAACUGAGGAGAAGCUAAAGUAGAAAGUUCUUGUGUGGAACACUCCUAGAGUGCCGCUGUGAAAGGGUGCGUCUGAACGCUGACCUCCGUACAGUUUUUCAGUUUGAAGCAAGCUUGUUCAUGUUAUACUGAUGAAAAGCCCACGCUUCAGUGACUUACACUAAGAUGAGGUUGAUGUAACAGAAUUCCUGACUGAGAGUUCUCAAGAUGCACGUUGAUGUGAUCUGGUUCUGGGAAGCUGCCCUGUUGUCAUUCAGGGCCAACUGAGGUCGUGUAACAUGAACUUUUGUAUAACACAAGCAACAAGGGGGGCUAUUUCAGGUUUAAGGGGAAGAUGGGAAAGAUAGCCGCCUGAAGCCAGGAGAGCAAGACUCUCCUGGCUUCAGGGAUAGCCGCCUAAAGCCGAGCUCCUGCUGCGCUCCGGAGGCUUCGUGUUGCUUUGGCUGAAGCCAGGAGAGCGAGAGGGAUCGGUGCGCACCGAUCCCUCUUGCUUUCCUGGCUUCGCUGAGGGGGCGCUGCGCAGAGAGUGAGAUAAUUUUUUUUCUUGUUCUCCCCCUCUAAAACUAGGUGCGUCCUAUGGUCGGGUGCGUCCUAUAGAGCGAAAAAUACGGUAUUUCAGCAUGUUUAAUGUUGAAAGGUCUGUGAAUGUAUUUAUGUAACUUACCAGUCCCCAAGCCCAGGCAUUUCUACUUGGGUCACAUUGAUUUCCAUGGGACUUACUCCCAGCUAAAUGGGUCAGAUUGCAGCCCUAAUUUCCAUCUGAUGGGGGAGAGAAGGCAGCUGCUUAUCCUCCACAGUUUUCUCUGUUCUUCCCUACUCUCUUGUCCUGCCACUGCGGGUUAGAUUGAAAAGCAGAGAGACACAAACAUCCGCUCAUGCUCUUGCCACGCUUCUUGAGUUUUGUGAUGUAGUCAGUGAAACCUAGUGGGCACACAGAGAACUGCUCAGUAUUUUGCAUUCUUAACACCUCCAGAAACUCACCACCACUUCCUCCUUUCCGUGUUGGGCAUCCUGGAAGGUAAAGGAAAUGCUAAGGUACAGGUGGUGCAGAGUGCUUUGGGCACUUUUUCCUUCCUAGACUGGCUCAGGAAAAUCUUUGCAUAUGCGCUUCCGAGGGGGAAUGUUCCUAGCCAGAGAUGGAAGCAGCUUUCCCUGCCAGACCAGGUAGACUUGGAUUACAGAGUCUUCCCCAAAGGGGAUUUCUAAGAGAAGCAUUUUUGCAAGACAAGCAUUGGCUGUGCUCAAAAAACGAGCCCCAUACAAUCAGUGAUGUCUGUGGUCAAAUAAAAGCAAAAAAGGGCCAGACUCCUACCACUUUAACAAUGGUAUAGAAGGGGGAGUUUCAGCAGGUGUAGUUUGUCAAGCAAGCAACACCUGCUGAAAAAUCCCGUUUUUGUGUUUUUUAAAAAAUCUGGCCUCUCUACUAGGAGAUGGCCCAUGAGCGAGACUUCCACUGAGCUUCAACACAUCCAGAAAUGUCAUCUGUUGCUUGCAAUGCCUGCAGGAGAGAGCAAGUUCUUAACUAGGAAACUGCAGCUGUGCAGUUUCUCAAGAAGAGAACUAAGGCAAUGAGGAAGGAGGAGCUGCCUGAAAGCUGACUAUUCUGUGAUUCCACACAAGUUGAUAUAGUACUGAGUGCAGAAUUGUAGCAAGCUGUGAAUCUCAGCUUUGUCUCCCUCUACCCACCCCACAAAAAUAAUUAAGGAAAAGUAAGCAUUAUUUCCUAUCCAUUGUAGCGAUGCAAGUAGACAUCUCUGACAUGCUUUGAAGCCUAUCAAAGCAUCAGAAGCAGAAACUGUGGCUGAGUAUCUUGCACGUUGCCCUGGGGCGGAGUUCUGGGUGGUGUACUCCCUGCCCCCCCUUGCUCUCCUCCUUGAGUAGGAGUAAAAUAAUGCAUAUGUAAAUAUACAGGCAAAAUUUUAACAAUGCAGAUCUUUUCCCUUUGCAUAAUUUAUACACAUUGCUAAGUUUUGGUUUGCAUGGGAUUUUGUUUUGUCAUGGGGCACAAUUUUAAUGGGGAGUGGAACCCCUGGGGCUACUCAAAAGCUGAGUUUGCAAGGGAAGGAAUUAGAGCAGUAGCAAGAGCUCACUCCAGCUGCAGGCCUAUACACACACUUACCUGGGGGUAAGUUCCAUUGACUACAACUACCAUCAUCAGACUAUAAGCCAUGUUGAUUAGAGCUGAUGAGAGUUGGAGUUGAUCAACAGGCUGCCCAUCUCUGCCCUAAACCAUGCAUUGUGCCUUGUCAGGUGUUUGAUAACCCUCUUGAUUUAUUUUGUUUUGUAAUCUCAAGCAGAUUGCAAAAAUAGAUUUAUUGUGUCGCUGAUGGCCUGCCAUAUUAGAAGUGUGUUAGUCAGUUAGGUGGGUCACAAAUUCUGCAGGGAUCUGACCGUCUUUUUCUCUUGUGCAUAGGAUGACACUCGAAGUCUGGGAAUGAAAUAGUAACCCAGUUUGUACUCAUUCCAUUGGCUGAGCAAUGACUUUGUUACCGUAAUCCCUUGAUUAAACUUGGCUCUGCAUGGUAAUCUUACGCCACAAACUUGGCUGGCUUCAGCUUUCUACAUUUCUUCUGCAUUCGGAGCCAGCUUAAUUCCUGGUACAGGCCUGCAAUGAUCUACAGUAAUACUGGAGAGUUAUAUAAUCAUCUCAGAAAUCUAUACUGCAUUUCCUUCGUGCCAAGGAAACUUUGGAUGCUGAUUGGUUGAGUCAGAGAGAUGCUGAGGAAUGUCCAUUAACAUUCCAAGUUCCAGCUUGAUCAAGGAACAAAGCUUGACAGCAACAAAAUGUUCCCAGCCUGGCUUCUGUGAGAAGGAAUAUAUCAGUCUGAGUUGGAUUAAAACUUAAGACAUAGGCUCUGUAUAGGCUCUGUAGAUGGAGGAUCUGCAGAGGUGGGUAGCUAAGCCCACUUCAGAGCUGAAUAAGAGAUGACCAGAAGUACAAAACCUGGUGGGCUAAAAGCACAGAGGUAGAGCAGUGGAAGGAGGGGAAGAGCAAAUGGUGUAUAUAACAAACCUGAGGGAAGACCCUGAGUUUGAAACCUCCCAAUACCCAUUGUAUUACUUGAGAAUUGCUUCUCUUUUGUUUUCUUCACAUUCUGAAAAUAGGAGUGUAAUGCUGAGUUUAGUAAGCGCCUGAUUGUGCAGGCACUUGUAACAUGUAAUGGUCAGGACCCCUGACCAUUAGGUCCAGUCGUGACCGACUCUGGGGUUGCGGCGCUCAUCUCGCUUUAUUGACUGAGGGAGCUGGUGUACAUCUUCCGGGUCAUGUGGCCGGCAGGACUAAGCCGCUUCUGGCGAACCAGGGCAGCGCACGGAAACGCCGUUUACCUUCCCGCUGGAGCAGUACCUAUUUAUCUACUUGCACUUCGUGCUUUUGAACUGCUAGGUUGGCAGGAGCAGGGACCGAGCAACGGGAGCUCACCCCAUCGCGGGGAUUCAAACCGCCGACCUUCUUAUCAGCAAGCCCUAGGCUCUGUGGUUUAACCCACAGCGCCAUACACCACCAUUAAACCAGAGCGUCCUGUAACUCUCCAACUCAAAAGAAAUUAUCUUGCCACCUUUCCACUCGGCUGCUGAACUGAACACAGCUAAGUUUUGCCUAACAAUUUCAAACUGUAUUAUUUUAAUUAGAAAGUGAUUGUUCCUUGGCCUGACCUCAGUAGUUAUGGUCAACAUUUCCCCCCUCUUAUUUCAGGCUUCUAAUAUUGUUCAACUGCAACAUGUUCUCUAACCUCAGUGUGCCGUUCGUUUUACCAAAGGCAAAUGACGCCCGAUUCCUUCAUUCGAUUCUCCAGCUGGCUUCCCUUCUAGACUUUGCAUUGUCCUUUUAUCUCUCUCCAAAUUCUUUCCAAUUUGUCAAUGUCUGCCUUGAAUUGAGGCAUCACUGGAAUUAUGUUCAAUAGUACAAUGAAGCAUUUAUUACAGAUAUUGUUCUGUGUUUGGCUCGCUUCAUCACUGUGAAUGGGUGGUCAGGGCCUUUGACAAAAGAAAUUUGAUGCUUAUUUAAUGGGUCUAGAUGCCCACCCGCCCAGUGGACAAUUAACCUGAUGGGUAGAGUCUUGGAUGUGUGCACUGCUGGGCAUGUGUGUGAGAAGCAGCAAUUUUGCAAAUUUAAAUGGACAGAGAGGGAAAAGGAAAGAGGAGGAGGAAGGAGAAGAGGUAUGGGGACAUAGGAGGGAGGAAGAAGGGCUUCUAACUGACUUAGCUGAAACUGCUAGUGUUGCAUUUCUGAAGAGCUGUCUUUAGACCUUCAGCUCUGGGGAAAUGGGGAAUCCACAACAAGUUACAACAUUAAACAAUAUUUGGGAUUUGGCCUGUACAUCAUCCAAAACCACUUAGAGUUCCCUGCAUGGCUUUUUGUUUUGGGGUUUCACAAAAGCCUCGGUACAAGUUGGUCAGCAGGUUUAGUCUUCGUGGAGCCCUUCGGUUUCUCUUUGGUCUCCCGUCUGGCUGUGGAUCAGAGGCUCCAAACUCACACUCCAGUGCCAAAUCAGUCUCCGAAGCUGCACAAAGGGCCUCAAGACACAAUUCCAGGAUCAGAUCUGAUUUGCCACUGGCACACCACGGAUCCCCUUUUUUUACUCUUUCUGUCCCUGGGCCAGCCUCCUUCCUCCCCUGCCCCAAACUGCAAAUUCAAGUCCUGCCACAAGUCUUUGUUUGGGGGCACUUUUUUCAGGAGCAGCUGGCCCACAAUAUCACCUGGGUUCAGGAAACCUGACUGUGCAGGGAGGCUGGUAAGUGUGUCCAGCCAAGCACGCUCAGAAUCCCCCUUCCGACUUUCCUGCCCAGUGCAGGAAGGUCAGGGUGGAGGAGGCAGGGGUGGCACAUGACAUAUGAUCCCAUAGGCCCUCCACGGAUUUGAAUUUAAAAUGCUUAAAGAAGGCUAAAACCUCCCAUUGAAUUAGAAUCAUAGAAUAGAACCAUAGAAUUGUAGAGUUGGAAGGGAUCCCAAGGGUCAUCUAGUCCAACCCCCUAAAAUGCAGGAAUCUAAACUAAAGCAUCCAUAAAACUCCAGACUCUGCUUUGCAGGCAAGUAUUUCUCCACUUGAGAUUCUUAUUGUUCUGCCUGAGGUACAGGUCUCUGAAAUGGAUAGAGAAUGGUGGAAGUGGUGAAGAAGUUUGGGGACGCGGGUGGCGCUGUGGGUUAAACCACAGAGCCUAGGACUUGCCAGUCAGAAGGUCGGCGGUUCAAAUCCCUGCGACGGGGUGAGCUCCUGUUGCUCGGUCCCUGCUCCUGCCAACCUAGCAGUUCGAAAGCAUGUCAAAGUGCAAGUAGAUAAAUAGGUACCGCUCCAGCGGGAAGGUAAAUGGCGUUUCCGUGUGCUGCUCUGGUUCGCCAGAAGCGGCUUAGUCAUGCUGGCCACAUGACCUGGAAGCUGUCUGCGGACAAACACUGGCUCCCUCGGCCAACAAAGCGAGAUGAGCACCGCAGAGUCGGUCACGACUGGGCCUAACGGUCAGGGGUCCCUUUACCUUUACCUAUUUUUCCACUUGAGAUUCUUAUUGUUCUGCCUGAGGUACAGGCCUCUGAAAUGGAUAGAGAAUGGUGGAAGUGGUGAAGAAGUUUGUGGAUGAGGCAGGGUACAGAAAAGAAUGUGUCUCACCCACCUCUCUCUUUCCUUUGCUCCUAGUUGAAUAACACCCCACUCCACCCCGCUCUGUGUUGUCACGGACACCAUCUGGAGCUGAAACCCAUCCAGUUUGCAACAGGAUUAAAUAAAUGCUUUAAUUUUUAUCUCUUU